Molecule: long non-coding RNA, 435 nt
Filed under: Homo sapiens (human)
Lineage: Eukaryota; Metazoa; Chordata; Mammalia; Primates; Hominidae
Description: non-protein coding lnc-ACOX1-1:4
Source: RNAcentral
CGGCCGCACCUCCGGGGGCACGGCGCGUAACAGGAGGCUUCCGGGGCUGAGAGCGUUACAGGCUGCGCUCCGGGGCCAGAUAGGCCGGGCGCUCAGAAGGGGAGUAUGAGCCUGAUGUGGGCAGAAUCCAGAUGAGCUGGCCAGUGCUGUGAAGGAGCUGAGAGCACCCCCGAGAGCCGUGAGAUGGUAGGCAGAGUUCAGAGUAAGAUGCAUGGAAAGCGAACAUGCCUCCCAUCCUGCAUCCCCAAAGAUCUUGACUGCAUGCAACACUCUGGGGGCUGGGCGGCAAGGACCAGGAUGGAGACCCUGGAGAAGAGUGACAGGAGGUGGCAUUGAUACCAAACUUUCGACGACCAAGGUUUCUUCUGAGACUCUGAGUGUCCAGCUGGAAGCGUUUUUAAGUGUCUGUCACUGGUAUUGAGGAGUCAGGGGCAC